UACAGAGGUCCCAAGCGUUGUUCGGAUUCAUUGGGCGUAAAGGGUGCGUAGGCGGCGCGGUAAGUCGGGUGUGAAAUCUCGGAGCUUAACUCCGAAACUGCAUUCGAUACUGCCGUGCUUGAGGACUGGAGAGGAGACUGGAAUUUACGGUGUAGCGGUGAAAUGCGUAGAUAUCGUAAGGAAGACCAGUGGCGAAAGCGGCGCACUGGACCACAUCUGACGCUGAGGCGCGAAAGCUAGGGGAGCAAACAGG
This 253-nucleotide ribosomal RNA is filed under the name uncultured bacterium. RNAcentral's name for it is "partial 16S ribosomal RNA". It matches the Rfam family "Bacterial small subunit ribosomal RNA", at positions 524 to 776 of the family's 1533-position model. The record is from RNAcentral.